RNAcentral lists this long non-coding RNA (600 nucleotides) under Fukomys damarensis (Damara mole-rat). RNAcentral's name for it is "lncRNA (ENSFDAG00000026033.1)". Lineage: Eukaryota; Metazoa; Chordata; Mammalia; Rodentia; Bathyergidae. The record is from RNAcentral.
GAACUGAUCCGGAAGGACAGCAUGCUCUGUUUCCGGGGUUUGACCUCACUCCCAUGGGUCACAGUCCCGGGGGGCAUGAAGCUCCCCCUGAGCAAAACACAGGCCACUCUGGAUUCAUGGUGGAUUCAGCAGUGCCGCAAGGCUGUUAGAGAACUUCACUUAUUCUAAUGCUCCCGGAGACAGUCCUGACCCCUCGGUGUCCAGCAUUAGAUGUACUUCCUUCUACUGGUCUGAUUCUUCGGUGUCAGUACUGGGAACUGAAUGCAGGAUACCACACCUUUUCAACAAUCUAUGGGGAGUCCCACUUAAUGCAACAAUAUGAGAAAAAGAAAUGAAAGGUAUCGGGCAAGAAGAAAUAAAGCUGUCUUUACACGCAAAUAACAUGAUGACACAGGAAAUUUGAAAGAAGAAAACUACAACAAUAACAAAAAUCCUCCUUAACUAAUUAGCAACUACAGCAAGGUUGCAGAACAUAAGGUAAAUAUACAAAAGAUCACUGCAGCCCAGCUCCUAGUGGGCCAAGGACCCCUGGAUGAAGGCGGCCACUUGGACUUCACUGCCAGAUUCUCUGCAGACUGGGACUGGACUAGGUACUCCCCA